This 361-nucleotide long non-coding RNA is filed under the name Capsella rubella. RNAcentral describes it as "long non-coding RNA (CRUB_LNC004698)". Lineage: Eukaryota; Viridiplantae; Streptophyta; Magnoliopsida; Brassicales; Brassicaceae. The record is from RNAcentral.
AAAAGUCUAGCUAGCCUUAUAACUUACAUUUUGACUCUCACCCAUAUACUAUGACUUGUAUCAAACAAAACAUACCAAAAUAUAAUGAAACCAAUAACACACUAUGGAAAAUAAAUCUAGUUCAGUAACGCUCGAUUUACAGAGAUGAUAAGUUUAUAUUGGCUAAACUAUAAUGUAAGUUUGAAUAUUUUUUUUUUUUUUUUUUUUGACAGCAAUGUAAGUUUGAUUAAAAUGGCAAUUUUGAUGAUAAAAAAAUUAAUGUGGAUUAUUUUGAAAAAUAUGGAUGUACGUACAUACAUUAUUGACGUGGAACGUAUGCGAUUUUUUCUUAUACGAAGAUUAUUUUUUCUCUCAAAUUAAU